UGGUGGAGUGAUUUGUCUGGUUAAUUCCGUUAACGAACGAGACCUCGACCUGCUAAAUAGUCUAUGGAAUCUUUCGAUUCACAUAUUACUUCUUAGAGGGACUAUCGGUUUGUAGCCGAUGGAAGUUCGAGGCAAUAACA
RNAcentral lists this ribosomal RNA (140 nucleotides) under uncultured eukaryote. Its description in RNAcentral is "partial 18S ribosomal RNA". It matches the Rfam family "Eukaryotic small subunit ribosomal RNA", at positions 1299 to 1458 of the family's 1831-position model. The record is from RNAcentral.